Molecule: non-coding RNA, 321 nt
Organism: Lactuca sativa (garden lettuce)
Lineage: Eukaryota; Viridiplantae; Streptophyta; Magnoliopsida; Asterales; Asteraceae
Source: RefSeq, a predicted model, not a curated record
UGUAGUUAUGGAGGUAGAGAGACGGUGAUGAAGCUGGUGAUGUUGGUAUGAUCCGACGUUAAGAAUAUUUUUAGCCUUUAAUCUACAACAAACCAUUCUAAGAUCUAAUUCUUAUAGAAACGAUAUGUUCUUUCUCUCUUUAUUAAGAGACCAAAAUCAGGUCAUGAAUAUAGCUUCGUGAUGAACAUAGGAUAAAGACUUGUUAUUAUCACACCAAUCAUUCUUACAGAAUGUUGUCAUAUAAUUCGUAUUCUAAUAAAAUGUGUUCUUUCAGAAUGUAUAAAACAAUUCUCAGUAAUGAUAUUCUUUUUGAAUGAUUUA